UUUAAGUGUAACCAUGAAUUUUCGUGUCUAAUUUUGAUCGUCCGUCUUAUUUGAAAAUUUUUUAUAAUUAGUAUUUUUAUUGUUAUGAGAUGAUAAAACAUGAAUAGUACUUUAUGUGUGACUUAUAUUUCUAAAAAUUUUUAAAUAAGACGGACGAUCAAAGUUGAACACGGAAAAUCAUGGCUACGCUUAAA
MicroRNA precursor from Oryza sativa Indica Group (long-grained rice), 194 nucleotides. It matches the Rfam family "MIR812 microRNA precursor family". The record is from Rfam. NCBI's taxonomy places the organism in Eukaryota, Viridiplantae, Streptophyta, Magnoliopsida, Poales, Poaceae.